CGGCCGUGGGGUAAGCAGCUGUCCUCCACCAGGCCCUUCCUCUAUGUCUUUUCUGCAGUUCCAAAUCUUGAGGAAUCCCAUGAGAACUUCUAUAUCCGGGUCCCAAGAGACAAUGUUGGGGUCCCAUGACUCAGGCUGAUAUCAGCUCUAGGCCAUGCUAUGGAAAACCCGAUCCAGUUCUCCUGAGUAAGAAAGCAGAGCUUGGACCAGGCUGCUCCCACCCUCUUCCCAUCACCAGUGCUGAUGCUCCUGACUCCCUGCAAGCUUCUUCACCAGCAGUCAAACUGGCCUGCUCGCCCAGCUUUGGAAAGCCUUUUCACCUGGAAUUCCUGUUUCUGGAAGGCUCUUCACACCCCUGGUCUUAACUUCUUGGAAG
This is a long non-coding RNA of Fukomys damarensis (Damara mole-rat), 376 nucleotides long. RefSeq lists it as uncharacterized. Lineage: Eukaryota; Metazoa; Chordata; Mammalia; Rodentia; Bathyergidae. The transcript has 3 exons. The record is from RefSeq and is a predicted model, not a curated record.